AUUGAACGCUGGCGGCAUGCCUAACACAUGCAAGUCGAGCGGAGCGGCGAACGGGUGAGUAAUGCCUCGGAACCUGCCCGGUAGUGGGGGAUAACGUCCGGAAACGGUAGCUAAUACCGCAUACUAUCAGAUCAGCCGAGGUCGGAUUAGCUAGUUGGUGGGGUAAAGGCCUACCAAGGCGACGAUCCGUAACUGGUCUGAGAGGAUGAUCAGUCACACGGGGACUGAGACACGGUCCAGACUCCUACGGGAGGCAGCAGUGGGGAAUAUUGGACAAUGGGGGAAAGCCUGAUCCAGCCAUGCCGCGUGUGUGAAGAAGGUCUUCGGGUUGUAAAGCACUUUUGGUAGGGAAGCGUUACCAGCAGAAUAAGCACCGGCUAACUACGUGCCAGCAGCCGCGGUAAUAC
RNAcentral lists this ribosomal RNA (407 nucleotides) under uncultured bacterium. RNAcentral describes it as "partial 16S ribosomal RNA". It matches the Rfam family "Bacterial small subunit ribosomal RNA", at positions 30 to 526 of the family's 1533-position model. The record is from RNAcentral.